CAGAGGAACAUCACAGCGUGUGUUUUUAUUUCCAUUAGCUGCUGCCGUCAUCAUCUGAGCAGGAAGUGAAUUUUAAGUCCAUUAUAAGUCAUUAAUAAUCAAUAUCUGCACAGUUAGUGUAUGUUACUCUGUUUCUCUCUCAGCGUCAGCGCCUGCAGCCGUGAUGAUCUUAUCACAACUCAAACUGUUCCUGCACUUUUCUCCACUUUCUGGAGCAUUUGCAUAAAUCGGUUCAACUGGUGAAAAACAGACGACGCCCUGAGUCAACAGAGAGUUCGACCUCGGCGCGUUAGCCUCGUACGUCUCGUCUGAAGGGACCGCGCUUUGCAGACGCUCCCUUGCACUGUUGACAUUCACAGCACACGUCCUCCUCCCAGGAGUAUCCCACAAUGCUGUGCUGCACUGGCUGGUUGCUAGGUUACAGCGUGGGGUGUGCACACAGUGCUGCGUUGAUGGAAAUGUCCAGAUGACUGACUUCAUAGCUCGACUCCCUGACUUGGGAUUCACCUCACAGGUCAAAGCGAAUGUUAUGGGUGUGUGAGCACAUUCAUUCAUUCAUUCAUUCAUUCAUUCAUUCAAACCCUAAACCUUCAUUCGCUCACAUUCUGUCUUUCUAACACGGCGUGAAAAUGAAUGAACGUAAACGUGUUUUAUGUCUUUAAAAGAUGGCGGUAAAUGCACUUGAAAAAGAGGAAGUGAAGAUUUUCAAACUGUUUUCUUUCGUUUCAUCGUGUUUGACGUCACAAACGUCUCCGUAAACAAUCAACUUGAUGUAAAACAAAUGAUUGAUUUAAUCUUCUGGUUUGAUCAAAGAUGCCAAUGUGGAAGGGAGAAUAUCAUGAAUGUCCACCAGGGGGCGAAACUAAAGAUCCACAUCAGGAUCACCCAAAGACAAAAUCGCACAAAGACAUUGUUUGUUUUUAAUGCUUCAAUUUUUGAUUCUCAAUUGAAUAAUGGGAAGA
Molecule: long non-coding RNA, 962 nt
Organism: Solea senegalensis (Senegalese sole)
Lineage: Eukaryota; Metazoa; Chordata; Actinopteri; Pleuronectiformes; Soleidae
Exons: 3
Source: RefSeq, a predicted model, not a curated record